AGAGUUUGAUCCUGGCUCAGAACGUACGCUGGCGGCACGCCUAAUACAUGCAAGUCGAACGAAGUAGCAAUACUUAGUGGCAGACGGGUGAGUAACAUGUAGGUAUCUUCCCUUUGGUGAGGAAUAACACGAGGAAACUUGUGCUAAUACCUCAUAAGUCUUCACAGAGAAAGCUUUAUGCGCCAAUGGAUGAGCCUGCACUUGAUUAGUUUGUUGGUGGGGUAAUGGCCUACCAAGACAAUGAUCAAUAGCUGAUUUGAGAGGAUGAUCAGCCACAUUGGGACUGAGACACGGCCCAAACUCCUACGGGAGGCAGCAGUAGGGAAUCUUGCACAAUGGGGGAAACCCUGAUGCAGCGAUGCCGCGUGAGUGAAGAAGGCCCUUGGGUUGUAAAGCUCUUUCGUCGGGGAAGAAAAUGACUGUACCCGAAUAAGAAGGUCCGGCUAACUUCGUGCCAGCAGCCGCGGUAAUACGAAGGGACCUAGCGUAGUUCGGAAUUACUGGGCUUAAAGAGUUCGUAGGUGGUUAAAAAAGUUGGUGGUGAAAUCCCAGAGCUUAACUCUGGAACUGCCAUCAAAACUUUUUAGCUAGAGUAUGAUAGAGGAAAGCAGAAUUUCUAGUGUAGAGGUGAAAUUCGUAGAUAUUAGAAAGAGUACCAAUUGCGAAGGCAGCUUUCUGGAUCAUUACUGACACUGAGGAACGAAAGCAUGGGUAGCGAAGAGGAUUAGAUACCCUCGUAGUCCAUGCCGUAAACGAUGUGUGUUAGACGUUGGAAAUUUAUUUUCAGUGUCGCAGCGAAAGCAAUAAACACACCGCCUGGGGAGUACGACCGCAAGGUUAAAACUCAAAUGAAUUGACGGGGACCCGCACAAGUAGUGGAGCAUGUGGUUUAAUUCGAAGAUACGCGCAGAACCUUACCAACACUUGACAUGUUCGUCGCGACUUUAAGAGAUUAAAGUUUUCGGUUCGGCCGGACGAAACACAGGUGCUGCAUGGCUGUCGUCAGCUCGUGUCGUGAGAUGUUGGGUUAAGUCCCGCAACGAGCGCAACCCUCACUUUUAGUUGCCAUCAUUAAGUUGGGCACUCUGAAAGAACUGCCAGUGAUAAGCUGGAGGAAGGUGGGGAUGACGUCAAGUCCUCAUGGCCCUUACGUGUUGGGCUACACACGUGCUACAAUGGCAUUUACAAUAGGAAGCAAAACGGCGACGUUAAGCAAAUCCUAAAAAAAUGCCUCAGUUCGGAUUGUACUCUGCAACUCGAGUACAUGAAGCUGGAAUUACUAGUAAUCGCGGAUCAGCGCGCCGCGGUGAAUACGUUCCCGGGUCUUGUACACACCGCCCGUCACACCAUGGGAGUUGGUUCUACCUUAAGGCAAAGGUUAAAAACUUUGACCACGGUAUAGUCAGCGACUGGGGUGAAGUCGUAACAAGGUAACC
Molecule: ribosomal RNA, 1436 nt
Filed under: uncultured bacterium
Lineage: Bacteria
Description: bacterial SSU rRNA
Rfam family: Bacterial small subunit ribosomal RNA
Source: RNAcentral